Molecule: ribosomal RNA, 436 nt
Filed under: Bacillus sp. (in: firmicutes)
Lineage: Bacteria; Bacillati; Bacillota; Bacilli; Caryophanales; Bacillaceae
Description: bacterial SSU rRNA
Rfam family: Bacterial small subunit ribosomal RNA
Source: RNAcentral
GAGCUUGCUCCCUGAUGUUAGCGGCGGACGGGUGAGUAACACGUGGGUAACCUGCCUGUAAGACUGGGAUAACUCCGGGAAACCGGGGCUAAUACCGGAUGCUUGUUUGAACCGCAUGGUUCAAACAUAAAAGGUGGCUUCGGCUACCACUUACAGAUGGACCCGCGGCGCAUUAGCUAGUUGGUGAGGUAACGGCUCACCAAGGCAACGAUGCGUAGCCGACCUGAGAGGGUGAUCGGCCACACUGGGACUGAGACACGGCCCAGACUCCUACGGGAGGCAGCAGUAGGGAAUCUUCCGCAAUGGACGAAAGUCUGACGGAGCAACGCCGCGUGAGUGAUGAAGGUUUUCGGAUCGUAAAGCUCUGUUGUUAGGGAAGAACAAGUACCGUUCGAAUAGGGCGGUACCUUGACGGUACCUAACCAGAAAGCCACGG